UCCGGUUGAUCCUGCCGGAGGCUACUGCUAUUGGAAUUCGACUAAGCCAUGCGAGUUUAAAGGACUUCGGUCCUUGGCAGACGGCUCAGUAACACGUGGAGAACCUGCCCUCAGGAGGGGGAUAACCCCGGGAAACUGGGAAUAAUACCCCAUAGGUCUAGAAUGCUGGAAUGCUUUUAGGCCGAAAGCUCCGGCGCCUGAGGAUGGCUCUGCGGCUUAUCAGGUUGUAGUGAGAGUAACGUCCUCACUAGCCUAUGACGGGUACGGGCCCUGAGAGGGGAUGCCCGGAGAUGGACUCUGAGACACGAGUCCAGGCCCUACGGGGCGCAGCAGGCGCGAAAACUCCGCAAUGCUCGAAAGAGUGACGGGGGGAUUCCAAGUGCCUACGCUUAGCGUAGGCUGUUCGGAUGCCUAAAAAGCAUCUGGAGUAAGGGCUGGGUAAGACGGGUGCCAUCUGCAGCGGCAGUGAAAGAUUUGACUUGCUGCUGCAAGGCAUAAGCCGCCGCGGUAAUACCCGCAGCCCGAGUGGUAGUCGAUUUUAUUGGGCCUAAAGCGUCCGUAUCCGGUCUGAUAAAUGCUUGGGUAAAUCGUCUGGCUUAACCAGACGAAUUCCGGGUAGACUGUCAGACUUGGGACCGGUUGAGGAAGAGGGUACUUUAGGGGUAGGAGUGAAAUCCUGUAAUCCUUGAAGGACCACCAGUGGCGAAGGCGCUCUUCUAGGGCGGGUCCGACGGUGAGGGACGAAAGCCAGGGGAGCAAACCGGAUUAGAUACCCGGGUAGUCCUGGCCGUAAACGAUGUGGGCUUUGCAUUGGGGGUUCUACGUGGGCGCCCAGUGCCGUAGCGAAGGCGUUAAGCCCACCGCCUGGGAAGUAUGGUCGCAAGGCUGAAACUUAAAGGAAUUGGCGGGGGAGCACAGCAACGGGAGGAGCGUGCGGUUUAAUUGGAUUCAACGCCGGAAAACUCACCGGAGGAGACUGUCGUAUGUGGGUCAGGCUGAAGACCUUACCCGAAUAAAAGACAGAGAGGUGGUGCAUGGCCGCCGUCAGCUCGUACCGUAGGGCGUUCUGUUAAGUCAGAUAACGAGCGAGACCCCUGCCCUUAGUUGCCACUCUGAAGUCCGCUUCAGAAGCACACUAAGGGGACCGCUGGUGAUAAACCAGAGGAAGGAGGGGGCAACGGUAGGUCAGUAUGCCCUGAAUCCUCCGGGCAACACGCGCGCUACAAAGGCCGGGACAAUGGGUCGCGACCUCGAAAGGGGAAGCUAAUCUCGAAACUCGGUCGUAGUUCGGAUUGAGGACUGUAACCCGUCCUCAUGAAGCUGGAUUCCGUAGUAAUCGCGGAUCAACAUCCCGCGGUGAAUAUGCCCCUGCUCCUUGCACGCACCGCCCGUCAAGCCAGGCGAGUUGGGUUUGGGUGAGGGUCUGCUUUAUGGCAAAUUCGAACCCAGGCUCAGCGAGCGGGGCUAAGUCGUAACAAGGUAGCC
Molecule: ribosomal RNA, 1485 nt
Filed under: uncultured archaeon
Lineage: Archaea
Description: bacterial SSU rRNA
Rfam family: Archaeal small subunit ribosomal RNA
Source: RNAcentral